Molecule: long non-coding RNA, 457 nt
Filed under: Lathyrus oleraceus (garden pea)
Lineage: Eukaryota; Viridiplantae; Streptophyta; Magnoliopsida; Fabales; Fabaceae
Description: Pisum sativum (pea) long non-coding RNA (PSAT_LNC012641)
Source: RNAcentral
AGAGUUCCUAUGUGCUCUAAGUGUUAUCAAUUGGGACCAAUAGAGUAACCAGUGAACUCUGAAGACAUUAAUUAGUAAUAAAAGGGACAGACCAAUAUUACCAAGUACAGGAGAGGACAUUUUGGUAACAUUAGUAAUUGAUCCAUUGGUACUAGAAGACAAAAUAUCACUUGGGAUAUUUUAUGUCACUACUUAAUAUUAUAUAUUAUAUAUAUUAUAUAGUAUAUGUAUGUGUGUGGUGGAUAAGAAAAGUAGAGGUUGGUAAGAAAAGAGGAUAAGAAUAGAAGAAGAGAGAAGGAGAGUUAUCAGGAAAAGGAGAAGAAAAGAAAAGAAAGAGAAAAAGAGAAAGAGGAAAGAAGAGCUUGGAGGAAAAAGAAGAAAACCCAUGGAGGAUCAUCAUCUUCCCCAACAAAAUCUCAUCUUCUUGUCACCAUAUUUAUCUUUAUCUUCAUCUUCA